GACAGAGGCCCCAAGCGUUACCCGGAAUCACUGGGCGUAAAGGGUGUGUAGGUGGUUUUGUUAGUCCUCCGUUAAACCCCCGAGCUCAACUCGGGAUCUGCGAAGGAAACGGCAAGACUUCGAGAAUGCAAGAGGUAUAUGGAACUCAUGGUGUAGGGGUGAAAUCCGUUGAUAUCAUGGGGAACACCAAAAGCGAAGGCAGUAUACUGGUGCAUUUCUGACACUGAGACACGAAAGCGUGGGUA
Molecule: ribosomal RNA, 245 nt
Filed under: uncultured bacterium
Lineage: Bacteria
Description: partial 16S ribosomal RNA
Rfam family: Bacterial small subunit ribosomal RNA
Source: RNAcentral